RNAcentral lists this ribosomal RNA (349 nucleotides) under uncultured bacterium. RNAcentral's name for it is "bacterial SSU rRNA". It matches the Rfam family "Bacterial small subunit ribosomal RNA", at positions 32 to 362 of the family's 1533-position model. The record is from RNAcentral.
AAUCAACGCUGGCGGCGUGCCUCAGACAUGCAAGUCGAACGAGAACCUCCCUUCGGGGAGGAGACAGUGGCGCACGGGUGAGUAACACGUGGGUAAUUUACCUUUGGGUGGGGAACAACAGCCGGAAACGGCUGCUAAUACCGCAUAAUGCAGCGGCUCGACAUCGAGACAGUUGUUAAAGCGGGGGAUCGCAAGACCUCGCGCCUGAAGAGAAGCCUGCGGCGGAUUAGCUAGUUGGUAGGGUAAUGGCCUACCAAGGCGACGAUCUGUAACCGGCCUGAGAGGGCGGUCGGUCACACUGACACUGACAUACGGGUCGAGACUCCUACGGGAGGCAGCAGUCGGGUAA